UGGGGAAUUUUGGACAAUGGGGGCAACCCUGAUCCAGCCAUCCCGCGUGUGCGAUGAAGGCCUUCGGGUUGUAAAGCACUUUUGGCAGGGAAGAAACAGCCUGGGAUAAUACCCCGGCGACUGACGGUACCUGCAGAAUAAGCACCGGCUAACUACGUGCCAGCAGCCGCGGUAAUACGUAGGGUGCAAGCGUUAAUCGGAAUUACUGGGCGUAAAGCGUGCGCAGGCGGUUUCGGAAAGAAAGGUGUGAAAUCCCAGGGCUUAACCUUGGGAACUGCACUUUUAACUACCGAGCUAGAGUACGUCAGAGGGGGGUAGAAUUCCACGUGUAGCAGUGAAAUGCGUAGAGAUGU
This 353-nucleotide ribosomal RNA is filed under the name uncultured bacterium. Its description in RNAcentral is "partial 16S ribosomal RNA". It matches the Rfam family "Bacterial small subunit ribosomal RNA", at positions 355 to 699 of the family's 1533-position model. The record is from RNAcentral.